AAACCUCAAAAAGAACACUGAAUUUUAGGGGCUGGGAAGAUGGCUCAGUGGUAGAGCGCUUGCCUAGCAGGUGCAAUGUCCUGGGGUCGAUCCCCAGUGCCAAAAAAGAAAAG
Molecule: long non-coding RNA, 113 nt
Organism: Dipodomys spectabilis (banner-tailed kangaroo rat)
Lineage: Eukaryota; Metazoa; Chordata; Mammalia; Rodentia; Heteromyidae
Exons: 2
Source: RefSeq, a predicted model, not a curated record